Non-coding RNA from Dipodomys ordii (Ord's kangaroo rat), 64 nucleotides. The record is from Rfam. Lineage: Eukaryota; Metazoa; Chordata; Mammalia; Rodentia; Heteromyidae.
GGUGGCUCAGUGGUAGAGUGCUUGCCUUGCAUGCAUGAGGCCCUGGGUUUGAUUCCUAGCACCA